RNAcentral lists this transfer RNA (89 nucleotides) under Candidatus Omnitrophota bacterium. RNAcentral's name for it is "tRNA-Ser". It matches the Rfam family "tRNA". From Rfam's summary of the family: Transfer RNA (tRNA) molecules are approximately 80 nucleotides in length. Their secondary structure includes four short double-helical elements and three loops (D, anti-codon, and T loops). The record is from RNAcentral. Lineage: Bacteria; Pseudomonadati; Candidatus Omnitrophota.
GGAGAGAUGGCCGAGCGGUUGAAGGCGCACGCUUGGAAAGCGUGUGGUCAUUGAAAAAUGGCUCCAGGGUUCGAAUCCCUGUCUCUCCG